This 484-nucleotide ribosomal RNA is filed under the name uncultured bacterium. Its description in RNAcentral is "partial 16S ribosomal RNA". It matches the Rfam family "Bacterial small subunit ribosomal RNA", at positions 30 to 507 of the family's 1533-position model. The record is from RNAcentral.
AUUGAACGCUAGCGGGAUGCUUUACACAUGCAAGUCGAACGGCAGCGCGGACUUCGGUCUGGCGGCGAGUGGCGAACGGGUGAGUAAUGUAUCGGAACGUGCCCAGUAGCGGGGGAUAACUACGCGAAAGCGUAGCUAAUACCGCAUACGCCCUACGGGGGAAAGCCGGGGAUCGUAAGACCUUGCACUAUUGGAGCGGCCGAUAUCGGAUUAGCUAGUUGGUGAGGUAACGGCUCACCAAGGCGACGAUCCGUAGCUGGUUUGAGAGGACGACCAGCCACACUGGGACUGAGACACGGCCCAGACUCCUACGGGAGGCAGCAGUGGGGAAUUUUGGACAAUGGGGGCAACCCUGAUCCAGCCAUCCCGCGUGUGCGAUGAAGGCCUUCGGGUUGUAAAGCACUUUUGGCAGGAAAGAAACGUCGCGGGCUAAUACCCCGUGGAACUGACGGUACCUGCAGAUUAAGCACCGGCUAACUACGUG